Long non-coding RNA from Carassius carassius (crucian carp), 307 nucleotides. RefSeq lists it as uncharacterized. The transcript is spliced from 2 exons. NCBI's taxonomy places the organism in Eukaryota, Metazoa, Chordata, Actinopteri, Cypriniformes, Cyprinidae. The record is from RefSeq and is a predicted model, not a curated record.
AACCUGGGACCCUUCAUAAAAAAGAUGGGAUUACUGAGACUGUGUGCUGUGACACUGACCUUUGCAAUGCAGCAGAUGGUGUGUAUAAGAGAAGCUUCCUCCUGCUGUGGUCUCCUCUGUUUUUCUACAUCCUGUUCCAGUGAGUCCGGCUCCACUGCAGAUUCUACCGUUGCAGCAAAAACUCAAUGCCACACACAUUUCUAUUCAUACUUUACUGAACAAAAUGGUGUGCAUGUUGUUCUGGUGUUGGCGUUUUUUUAGUAUCAUGAUUUGAGGAACACAAACUUUGUAUUUUAAUAAACAGUUA